GCUCGUGCGCGCCACUCCGCCAUUUUCUCUCACGCUUUGGAAGGUGGAAGCAGAGCCCGUGGAAGCUGACUGCAAGUUGUCGUGGUGGAAAGCUACAGUCGAAGAUAUCAGAUUCAUGUACCAGUGCACAUGCAAUGUGACUAGUGAGUUGUCUCUAGUAGUGUGAAUGUGGCAGUGUAAAGGGUUCCUGGUAGCAGUUCCAAGUAGAUUGGCAUUACUAAGUCAUUAUAAACUGAGACAUCCACACUUUGGGCGUACAAGCCGUUAUCCAUGAUGAUGAUGUCGAUAUUAGCCAAGAGUGUAAUCAUCA
Non-coding RNA from Pimephales promelas (fathead minnow), 310 nucleotides. The record is from RefSeq and is a predicted model, not a curated record. Lineage: Eukaryota; Metazoa; Chordata; Actinopteri; Cypriniformes; Leuciscidae.